CUUUGCAGACGACUUAGCUGUGCGAAACGGUCCUGUAAGCAGUAGAGUAGCCUUGUUGUUACGAUCUGCUGAGGGUAAGCCGUCCUUCGCCUCGAUUUCCCCAAUGGGUUCUCCGGAUUUCUGGAGACUUGUAGGGGUUGUGGGCUUUUUUCGAUGUGUCGUCUCUGGACGGGCGGUGCAGGGUAGUCGAGUUGGACUUGGUGGAAUUUCAUUCCGUCGAGUCUGGCGGGACUUUGUGCGGCUGUGUGCUGGACGGUGCAGGGUAGGCUGCUUGGUCUUGGUCGAUUUGAGGAUCGAUUCGAGGGCUGGGCGCUGGUAGCUUGAGGUGUAUGCGGUCUAGGGUAGGCUGGUUUGUCUUGGUCGAAUUUGAUGUUGGCUUCCGUGCGGACCAGAUCGAGCGUGGUACAGGUUAGGUACAGG
This 420-nucleotide ribosomal RNA is filed under the name Fusarium circinatum. RNAcentral's name for it is "partial 28S ribosomal RNA". The stretch from base 1 to 100 matches the Rfam family "Eukaryotic large subunit ribosomal RNA", at positions 3303 to 3401 of the family's 3401-position model. The record is from RNAcentral. Lineage: Eukaryota; Fungi; Ascomycota; Sordariomycetes; Hypocreales; Nectriaceae.